CAAGUCGAACGAGAUCUUCGGAUCUAGUGGCGAACGGCGGAGUAAUACAUGAGCAACGUGCCCUUAUGCCUGGGAUAUACAGAGGAAACUCUGGGCAAUACCGGAUGUGGCUAUCUUUCGGCAUCGAGAGAUAACUAAACGGAUUUAUUCGCAUAGGGAGCGGCUCAUGACCCAUCAGGUAGUUGGUAGGGUAAUGGCCUACCAAGCCGACGACGGGUAGCGGGUCUGAGAGGAUGAUCCGCCCGAGUGGGACUGAGACACGGCCCACACACCUACGGGUGGCAGCAGUUGGGAAUCUUGCACAAUGAGGGAAACCUUGAUGCAGCGACGCCGCGUGGACGAUGAAGGGUUUAGGCCUGUAAAGUCCUUUUACCAGGAAAGACUUAGGACGGUACCUGGUGAAUAAGCUCCGGCUAACUACGUGCCAGCAGCCGCGGUAAUACGUAGGGAGCAAGCGUUGUCCGGAUUUACUGGGCGUAAAGGGCGCGUAGGCGGUCUGUUAAGUGUGGUGUGAAAUCUCCAGGGCUCAACCCGGAAACUGCACCGCAUACUGGCAGACUGGAGGAAGGUAGAGGUAAGUAGAAUUCCCGGUGUAACGGUGACAUGUGUAGAUAUCGGGAGGAAUACCAAUAGCGAAGGCAGCUUACUGGGCCUUUCCUGACGCUGAGGCGCGAAAGCGUGGGUAGCAAACAGAAUUAGAUACUCUGGUAGUCCACGCCCUAAACGAUGGAUACUAGGCGUCAAGGGUAUCGACCCCCUUGGUGCCGCAGCUAACGCAUUAAGUAUCCCGCCUGGGGAGUACGACCGCAAGGUUGAAACUCAAAUGAAUUGACGG
RNAcentral lists this ribosomal RNA (835 nucleotides) under uncultured bacterium. RNAcentral's name for it is "bacterial SSU rRNA". It matches the Rfam family "Bacterial small subunit ribosomal RNA", at positions 58 to 916 of the family's 1533-position model. The record is from RNAcentral.